This 449-nucleotide ribosomal RNA is filed under the name uncultured bacterium. RNAcentral describes it as "partial 16S ribosomal RNA". It matches the Rfam family "Bacterial small subunit ribosomal RNA", at positions 329 to 793 of the family's 1533-position model. The record is from RNAcentral.
UGCCAGACUCCUACGGGAGGCAGCAGUGGGGAAUAUUGCACAAUGGGGGAAACCCUGAUGCAGCAACGCCGCGUGAGUGAGGAAGUAUUUCGGUAUGUAAAGCUCUCUCAGCAGGGAAUAGAAAAGAAGGUACCUGAAAAAGAAGCCCCGGCUAACUACGUGCCAGCAGCCGCGGUAAUACGUAGGGGGCAAGCGUUAUCCGGAUUUACUGGGUGUAAAGGGAGCGUAGACGGCUGUGCAAGCCAGAUGUGAAAGCCCGGGGCUCAACCCCGGGACUGCAUUUGGAACUGUGUGGCUGGAGUGUCGGAGAGGCAGGCGGAAUUCCUAGUGUAGCGGUGAAAUGCGUAGAUACUAGGAGGAACACCAGUGGCGAAGGCGGCCUGCUGGACGAUGACUGACGUUGAGGCUCGAAAGCGUGGGGAGCAAACAGGAUUAGAUACCCUUGUACG